RNAcentral lists this ribosomal RNA (512 nucleotides) under uncultured bacterium. Its description in RNAcentral is "partial 16S ribosomal RNA". It matches the Rfam family "Bacterial small subunit ribosomal RNA", at positions 355 to 859 of the family's 1533-position model. The record is from RNAcentral.
UGGGGAAUAUUGGACAGUGGGCGCAAGCCUGAUCCAGCAAUGCCGCGUGUGUGAAGAAGGCCUUCGGGUUGUAAAGCACUUUAAGCAGGGAAGAAAAAAUCUCGGUCUAAUACAUCGAGUCUUGACGGUACCUGAAGAAUAAGCACCGGCUAACUCUGUGCCAGCAGCCGCGGUAAUACAGAGGGUGCUAGCGUUAAUCGGAUUUACUGGGCGUAAAGCGUGUGUAGGUGGUUGUUCAAGUCAGUUGUGAAAUCCCUGGGCUUAACCUGGGAACUGCUUCUGAGACUGAACGACUAGAGUACGGUAGAGGGUGGUGGAAUUUCCCGGUGUAGCGGUGAAAUGCGUAGAUAUCGGAAGGAACAUCAUGGCGAAGGCAGCCACCUGGGCCUGUACUGACACUGAGACACGAAAGCGUGGGGGAUCAAACAGGAUUAGAUACCCUGGUAGUCCACGCCGUAAACGAUGAGAACUUGACGUCGGUUUGCUCUGCAAGUCGGUGUCGUACUAACGCG